Non-coding RNA from Heterocephalus glaber (naked mole-rat), 730 nucleotides. NCBI's taxonomy places the organism in Eukaryota, Metazoa, Chordata, Mammalia, Rodentia, Bathyergidae. The record is from RefSeq and is a predicted model, not a curated record.
UUUCUUCUGCAUUUCCAUGGCUCUGUCCAUAUCUCCAUUAACUCUUCUUCAACUGCUGGCACUUGGCUGCUCAAAACAAUUUUCCUCUUCCCUUGUGGAAAUGAGAGUGGAGUGUCUGCUGCCUUUUUGGCAGCGGGCCAGAGUGCCAGGUAAUCUCCGUGGUAAAGCUUAAUCCUAAUUAGCAUGGUGUCACAGGGAAGCUGACGCUGCUGUUGUCACAGCAGCAAGUGCAGUAGACAGGGGGUGUCAAAGUCAGGCUCCCAAGGACCCGAAGAACAUAAUAAAGUCACCAGAGACCGGGGAUAUGGGCUCUGCCACUCUUCUGAUGCUGACCUUUUCAUGGGAAGUGCUUCUCAUCUCAUUCCUGUGAAGAAUGCCAGCCUAAGUCCCAGAGUCAAGACCUUUGAGCAUACGGGCGAACUUCCAAGAGCCUUACCCUCAACUGUCAGUGAGGGUUGAUAUCAUCAGAUCUCAGCUUUGGAGAAUGUAUUGGAUUCCCUUUAUGACACUGCUAAGUAGGCAGAGAGCUAUAUCUGAGAAGAAGCAGGUUAAAUGGAAAACUACUUGAGGAUCUGCAGCCACUGUCUCCAAGGAAAUAUUCAUGAAAAGCUAACCUGAAUCUUCAUGUGACAACAUUUCUCUUUCAAUCUAUGAAGAAACCUUGCUAUUAAAGCAAGCACUUUGCUUGAUGAGUAGUAUAAACUCGAUCCAUAUGAAGAAUGAACUUUAC